RNAcentral lists this ribosomal RNA (611 nucleotides) under Streptomyces sp. SCAU5217. RNAcentral describes it as "bacterial SSU rRNA". It matches the Rfam family "Bacterial small subunit ribosomal RNA", at positions 89 to 713 of the family's 1533-position model. The record is from RNAcentral. Lineage: Bacteria; Bacillati; Actinomycetota; Actinomycetes; Kitasatosporales; Streptomycetaceae.
GGAUUAGUGGCGAACGGGUGAGUAACACGUGGGCAAUCUGCCCUUCACUCUGGGACAAGCCCUGGAAACGGGGUCUAAUACCGGAUACAACCACUGCAGGCAUCUGUUGGUGGUGGAAAGCUCCGGCGGUGAAGGAUGAGCCCGCGGCCUAUCAGCUUGUUGGUGAGGUAACGGCUCACCAAGGCGACGACGGGUAGCCGGCCUGAGAGGGCGACCGGCCACACUGGGACUGAGACACGGCCCAGACUCCUACGGGAGGCAGCAGUGGGGAAUAUUGCACAAUGGGCGAAAGCCUGAUGCAGCGACGCCGCGUGAGGGAUGACGGCCUUCGGGUUGUAAACCUCUUUCAGCAGGGAAGAAGCGAAAGUGACGGUACCUGCAGAAGAAGCGCCGGCUAACUACGUGCCAGCAGCCGCGGUAAUACGUAGGGCGCGAGCGUUGUCCGGAAUUAUUGGGCGUAAAGAGCUCGUAGGCGGUCUGUCGCGUCGGAUGUGAAAGCCCGGGGCUUAACCCCGGGUCUGCAUUCGAUACGGGCAGACUAGAGUGUGGUAGGGGAGAUCGGAAUUCCUGGUGUAGCGGUGAAAUGCGCAGAUAUCAGGAGGAACACCGGU